UACGUAGGGGGCAAGCGUUGUCCGGAAUCAUUGGGCGUAAAGAGCGCGUAGGCGGCCCUGUAAGUCCGCUGUGAAAGUCAAGGGCUCAACCCUUGGAUGCCGGUGGAUACUGCAGGGCUAGAGUCCGGAAGAGGCGAGUGGAAUUCCUGGUGUAGCGGUGAAAUGCGCAGAUAUCAGGAGGAACACCAGUGGCGAAGGCGGCUCGCUGGCUCGAUACUGACGCUGAGGUGCGAAAGCGUGGGGAGCAAACAGG
Molecule: ribosomal RNA, 253 nt
Filed under: uncultured bacterium
Lineage: Bacteria
Description: partial 16S ribosomal RNA
Rfam family: Bacterial small subunit ribosomal RNA
Source: RNAcentral